UAUGGUGGUUUUGCCGAGGGUGUUCACCUCUUCCCAUUCCGAACAGAGUAGUUAAGUCCCUCAUGGCCGAUGGUACUUGGUCCUUGACCUGGGAGAGUAGGUAGCCGCCAUAU
Molecule: ribosomal RNA, 113 nt
Filed under: Chitinophagaceae bacterium
Lineage: Bacteria; Pseudomonadati; Bacteroidota; Chitinophagia; Chitinophagales; Chitinophagaceae
Also listed under: 1 other name
Source: RNAcentral